CUGAGGCGGCUGUGUCUCCUACUCUGCGAACCAUCUGGUUGUGCUGUCUAAGGAGGCCCCUGAGAAGGCCCACCUUCACCGCUUGUGUUUUCAUUUUCUCCUCUACACCAGGAGAAGUCUGCUGAGCCAUGGUCUGGAAGAUGUCAACCACAGAGGACUCCUGGGCUGUUCUAGGGAGUUGGGCUGUUGUCCUGAGGGCAAUGGAGAGCCACUGACCCAUUUGACGGAAGAGAAUGACCAGAGCAGAUUUGCACCUGUGGAAGAUCUCCCUGGCACAGUGGGGAGCACGGGCUAGAGGGGACAAGGCCAGGGGAUAAACCAGGAGUUGGCAUGAAGAUGAAGAGACAGACUGAGCUUGGCUAAGUGUUUUGCUGUAAGUCACACAGUUUGGAAGAUUUGGAAUUCUGGACAACUGGACUUGAAACCACCAUGAUGCCUCACUGCAUCCCCGACUUGGGAAAUCCGAGUCAUCAUUUGUAAUGAUCUUCUGCAUCAUUCAGAUGUCAUUCAGUACUCACUAAUGUGCUUUCUACACGGCUUUUCCGAAAUAGCUGGCAUCUGCAGCACUCUGGGCCGGAGACUUCCCGGGGGUGAAGAUGGUGUAGGCGCAUCCAGUGUGGACAGGAGGUGCCAGUUUAAAGGAUGACUGUUCAUGGCCACCUCACAAUCUGUGCACCCCCCUGGUGCCCAAGUAGCAGGGACAGGGCUGUGAACUUCCUGCAGGGACCAAACCCCACUAUUGGCAGCUGCUGGUCUUUGUGAUUGCUCCUAUGUCAGGCUUGGGGGACAGAAGACAUUUUUCUUUUGCUGAAACCUGAAGGGGAACAAAUCGUGUAAAACUUGGCAUCUAAAUCUUCCCUUUCCCUCUAAGGAAAACCUCUGCAAUCAUUCUGCAAAGUAUUCUCUCUCCUUUUGUCCUGUUUAAGAUUCGGGUGUUGACAACUUCCCUUUGGGAGACCAUAUUAGGGUCUCAGAUUUCACCAUCAAGGAAACCUCUAAGUAUUUUUGCAGAAAGCUCCUGAUUAGAUUGAUCUCGGCACCGCAGCCUUCCCCCAAUCCUGGGCUAAGCCACAGAGAGACUCUGCUUGCUGGGCAGCUGUUUGUGGGUAUCUUGCGGCGGUGUUUCUGCUUUCUUGCUCAACCACCCAGAUUUAGCUAUUAAAGUUCCCCUCAUAAAUCAGCCACGCCGCGUAUCUUCAUCAUCUCCUUCCAGUUUGUCUAUAAGCUCUCUGCCCUCCAAGAAAUAAAUUACCCGCAAUUACUCAAA
This 1267-nucleotide long non-coding RNA is filed under the name Homo sapiens (human). Its description in RNAcentral is "HSALNT0360649". Lineage: Eukaryota; Metazoa; Chordata; Mammalia; Primates; Hominidae. The record is from RNAcentral.